UACGAAGGGGGCUAGCGUUGCUCGGAAUCACUGGGCGUAAAGGGUGCGUAGGCGGGUCUUUAAGUCAGGGGUGAAAUCCUGGAGCUCAACUCCAGAACUGCCUUUGAUACUGAGGAUCUUGAGUUCGGGAGAGGUGAGUGGAACUGCGAGUGUAGAGGUGAAAUUCGUAGAUAUUCGCAAGAACACCAGUGGCGAAGGCGGCUUACUGGUCCGGUUCUGACGCUGAGGAGCGAAAGCGUGGGGAGCGAACAGG
This 253-nucleotide ribosomal RNA is filed under the name uncultured bacterium. RNAcentral's name for it is "partial 16S ribosomal RNA". It matches the Rfam family "Bacterial small subunit ribosomal RNA", at positions 524 to 776 of the family's 1533-position model. The record is from RNAcentral.